Non-coding RNA from Amborella trichopoda, 1797 nucleotides. NCBI's taxonomy places the organism in Eukaryota, Viridiplantae, Streptophyta, Magnoliopsida, Amborellales, Amborellaceae. The record is from RefSeq and is a predicted model, not a curated record.
GAAAGGCCAAUUUCCCCCUAAAAUUUGGGGAUGUAACCCCUGCGUCUUCUCUCUCUCCUAUCUUGCUCUACCCAUCCCCCUUCAAUCUGUUUUAUCUCCCUUUCUCUCUCUUCCCUUACUCCCCACUAUCCAUGUUCCCCUUUCCUUGCGUCUUUAAACACGGCAUUCUGCAAAGCUUUUUGCAGUGGUUCUAACUUUGAGAUGUGUCUGUUGCUCUUCCCCCAAAGUUAGGGGGCGAAGAUUGUUGGUGAGGUUCUUGUAUCCAUCCAUGUCCCAUGGAUGGGCCUAAAGAGAAACUCAUAUACUGGUGAACAGGUUGAGUCAACGGUGUGUCAAUUGCAAGCAAUUGUGUUCGAAAUUUGAACAUCACCAUUGAGAGGCUUGAUGCCAUUCCAAGGAGUGAUGUCAACAGGGCGUGCUUUGCCAUAUGUUUUCCUUUCCAUUGCAGAGUAAUUCUAUGAUUAUGUCUGCAAGUCAGUGUUUUUGGACUCAGCUGAGUUACUCGGCCUCGGCCUCUGAUCAAUUCGAGUUUGCCUCAAUUUAUUAGUACACCUCCCUGGAAAUAGGGAGGUGGCGCUCUCUCUCUAAGCAAGAAAAUUCUGUUUCUUUCUCUCUCUAGCCGGGGCCUCUCUCUCUCUCUGAAUUACACCACUGGAGCGGCGCCUCCUUUCUUUCUCGCUCUAAAUCGCCCUGCUGGGCAAACUGCCUUUCUCUCUCUAAAAACAGGGCAUCACCCUUUAGAGAGAGAGAGGGGAAUUUUUUUGAGUGUUGAGUGCAGCAGAGGCUGAGAUGUGUGGCCAUGAACAUCCCAUCUCAAAGUUCUGAGUUCCUGCAGAUAUCCUCCACCACUACUGCAUGCAUCAACACCCUCAAUCAAAUAUCAAAGCCCUCGCUUCAGGUCUCUCUCUCUCAAAAUUUUGCCUUCUCCAUUGCUUUCUAUUCUUCCCCAUUCUACACUAUCGAAUACCCUCUAUAUCUCAUAGUCUUUAGGUGCGGGUGCGUUGCUGGGAGCGGGAGCUGGCUUGGGCCUGCAGAACCGUGGAUUGCUGGAACUUCCUUGUGGUCAGGGUUGUCGUCAGUACCAUCCUAUAUCAAGGGAGCACAAUCCUUGUCACAGGGGAGCGCAAUCAUUCUCUCUCUUCCCCUCUCUCUUUAUUCUUCCCCAUUCUUCAGGCCUCAACAAUGGCUCCAUUUGAGGCCUCUUCAAAAUUCCAGGGGCAAGAGACACGUCGCCAAAAUUUGGCCCCAAGCUCUCCCCUCUGCUCACGUUCUCUACCCCCUCUCUCUCCUGGGCAGUGUUUAAAAAGUGCCCCAUUUCAACUGAGACAUGGGCAAGUUACUUGACUGGGGUGGCCUGCCGAGCCUGGAACAGAUACCUAAAAGUACCCUGUAAAGUACUCAGGCUAGAGCUGGACAGAUUAUGAACAAUCUUAAUGGAAAAUCUCACCAAAAUGAUACCAUUUUAAAGCUCCAAAGAUACACCGUAUUACAAGAGGAACUGCGCACAUGUUCACAGUUUCUAUGCGAGGGGUGAAUGCAUAAGAUGUCCGAAUGUCCAUAUAGGCAUGAAUAUAUUUUGAAAAUACAUUAUGAUGUACAUUAAGCAUGAACGCUAUUACAGGUUAUGUCAAAACUUUAAGGGGUUUGUUUCUUUGACUGUAAUAGAAAAGAGAAAGGUGAUGUAGAUACUUAUUGAAGAAAUGUAUUUUAAAGUAAAAAUACUCUGGAAAAUAACUGACCACUAUUAUUUUUCAUUGUUGAGGGGAAUGACCGAUUAGAUCUUCCCAUUGUUUGUCA